This 1071-nucleotide long non-coding RNA is filed under the name Homo sapiens (human). RNAcentral describes it as "HSALNT0401338". Lineage: Eukaryota; Metazoa; Chordata; Mammalia; Primates; Hominidae. The record is from RNAcentral.
AUUCUGUUGCAUAGGCUGGAGGGCAGUGGGGUGAUCUCGGCUCACUGACACCUCCACCUCCCAGGUUCAAGUGAUUCUCCUAACUCAGCCUCCCAAGUAGCUGAGAUUACAGGUGCAAGCCACCACGCCCAGCUAAUUUUUGUAUUUUUAGUAGAGAUGGGGUUUUGCCAUGUUGGCCAGCCUGGUCUUGAACUCCUGACCUCAAGUAAUCCACUUGCCUCAGCCUCCCAAAGUGCUGGGUUUACAGGCAUGAGCCACCGCAUCUGACUGUUUUUCUUUUCUCUUGAGGCAAAGUCUUGCUCUGUUGCCCAGGCUGCUGGCAGUGGCAUGAUCACAGCUCACUGCAGCCUCAACCUCCUAGACUCGAGCAAUUUUCUCACUUCAGCCUCCUGAGUUGCUGGGACCACAGGUGCACGCACCACCCCCUGGCUUUUAUUUUUUUAUUUUUUUUAUUUUUUGGCAGAGACAGUGUCGCCUUAUGUUGCCCAGGCUGAACACCUGUGUCUCUUAACCUAAGAGCUGUCUCCAGCACAGGAUGCAAGACAGCCCCAAAAAAGUGUUAGGGACUUAAAGCCACCAGAAGCUUUUCUUAACCAAUGGAAUACAGGAGUCAAUGGAUAAAAGGGAGAGACACAACUGGCUCCAGCCCUUUUCCUGCCUCUUCCUGCUUUGAAUACUCACAUGAUACCUGGAGCUGCAGCAGCCAUCUUGUUUACCAAGAAGAAAAGCCAAGAUGAUCACAGAAUAGCCAGCACUGGUAUUGUUCCGCCAGCGACAGCAGAUACUUACCUCCAGAUUUUUGGGGAAAAAAAAUGAGCUGGAGUGACUCUCUUGGUCCCUAAGGUGGAAGCCAUGUGUUGAGGACACUGAGCAACAAGAUAGGAGGAGCCUGGGGCCCAGCCAGAGAACAGGAAGCCACCCAAAUAGCUCUCAACCCCUUAUAGAUGGACUACUAAAUGGGAAAUAAAGUAGACUGUUCUCUCUUGAUCUUUGUACAGAAUCUAUGUGCUAACUAAUAUAGUGCUCACUGGGAGGCUGAGACAGGAGGAUAGCUUGAGCCCAGCUUGAGCC